Molecule: long non-coding RNA, 2194 nt
Organism: Panicum virgatum (switchgrass)
Lineage: Eukaryota; Viridiplantae; Streptophyta; Magnoliopsida; Poales; Poaceae
Exons: 7
Source: RefSeq, a predicted model, not a curated record
CUCCACCAGCUCGUCCGAGCGGUUCUUUCCCCCGCCCCCUCCAGCAGCUCACAGAUGCGGCGGCGCGGCCCCGCGAUUCCCCUGCGGCGCCGGCCCCCGUGUUUCCCUCCGUCCUGCGUCGCCGGCCGCGCGAUUUCUAGGCGCCCAUGUCGUCCGGCGAGCUUGCAGCGACUGCUCCCGCCGGCCCGCGCGAGCCCCUGCCCGGCGAGCUGCAGCGUCUGCUCCCGACGCCGUUCGUCCCGUUGCUGAUCCGGGGACUGGCACCGCCCACCGCCCGCUGCUGACCAGCCCCUGUGUGUUCCCGCAUUCAAGGCGACGAUCUCCCGUUCCCAACGCCGGUCCGAUCCAUCCUCACGUCUCCGGCGAUCCUCCUCCGUCCUGGCUUUCUAUCAGCUCAGAUCCUUUCGUCUUCUUGUUAGAUCAGACUGUGGAGCAGCUCAACGGAGCGAUCCAGGUUUUUGGAUGAAUGCUGCUGAUUCCCUGCAAGGCACAAGGAUUAUAUUGGUUCUCAACCGAGCCGGGGAGCAUCUUCUAAUGUGCCUCCUGUCCAGGCAGGUGAUGCCACUGCAGGUUCCAUGACCAUGGAGAUGAGGCUGCAGAACAGCGGGUGUACAAUGGGGCGUACAUGGACGAGCUCUGCAAAAAAAAGGGAUACGGAUGACCGGAUCGAUCCUGCUGCGACAACCAUUUUGACUCUGCUGGAGGCGACAGCUAGACGGCAAACAACGUCUCGUGAAUCCAACCUCUGCUGGUGCUAACCUGACCGUCAGUGGAACACCCUCUAUACAGGUCUUGAGCUCCAGCACCAUCUUCUUGCAAAACUUCCAUGACCAUAGGUUAGGUUCCUGCCUGCAGCCCUGCACCUUUGAAUAUCAUCAGUCUAUUCUUCAGCUCCAACAUUUUCUUAUGGCUUUUCAAUGAGAUGGGUCCUGCAAACUGCUUUAUCCCUUGGUAUUAUUAUACCAGGGUCUUUGGAAGGUAAGCUAUUUACAUUUACAUAUGUUGUUAUUUGCUGCUAGCAAAUUAUGUACCACAAAUCCACAAUACUAUACUUAGUGUGUAGACUGCAGAAUUGGUGAGUAGACUAGUAUGGUCGCCAAUAACUGAGUUUUGUAUGGUACACUUGCAUCAUUUUAGAAGAUAGUAUCUUUUUUGCAUGUGCAUAUAUGUCAUUAUUUGUGACAAGAAACCUAUCUCUGCUACAUCCCAUCUAAUUGAAGUUUUUCUAGUCUCACAUCAAAGUAUUGCGAUCAGUUUGGUUAGCUUCAGACAAUUGUGGCUUUUAUAGUUCAUUAGGUUUCAUCCGUCCAGGCAUGAUAGAUUUUGCUAUCAGGCUAGUGUGGUUGCAAAUAACUUAUGUUCUUAUGGGUCACUCUCUUCAUUUUUAUGGGUCACUCCCGACACAGCUCCCCUCCUCCCGGCGGUGCUCCCCUCCUGCGAUGCCGCUGCCUCAUCCCUGCGCUGCUCCCUCAUCCCGACGGCCCUCCAUCCUCUCGACACUGCUCCCCUCCUGUGACGCCCCCCCCCCCUCCCCCCACCCAUCCCUGCGCCGCCGCUCCUCCCGUCGCCGAUCUAGGCACUGGUGCCACCGGCUGCAAGCUGCUGGCCUUGGUCAUAUCAAGAUGGAAACACCUCCCCAUUCACUGAGGCCAAUCAAUAGGUGUCACCCAGCUUGGGAUUAUGUCGCUUCCGCUCCUCCCGUCGCCGGUGCUCCUCCGGCGCUCCGCGAUGUCGCUCUGUCCUCCCGUCGCCCCUAGGAGAGUACUGCCAAUGGCGCCGGAUCCUGCAACCAAAUCCUCCUUCGGCGUGCCAUCUGCUCAGGAGCUUCCUCAACACACCCUCCAUCUCUGUUUGCUCCCAUGCGCCCCUAGAUUUGCUCUUAUGCAAUGUGUAUAGGCUGUCUUUAACCUGCAUAUACUAAUAAUUCUUAGCUCUUAUGCAGAUUGCAAUAUGCAUGCUGGAUACCUGCACAUGAGAUGGUUGAUUGGCUAGAUAGUUUCUGAUUUCCUUUUUGUUUAUUGUUCUACCAUAUUGUAAAAACAGGGUCAAUAAAAUAGCAGAAUGCAUUGAGUUUUUAUGAACUCUUAUGGUGUGCUCGGUUUAAAUAUGGUGAAUGUAAAUGCAAAGUGUUCUCAGUUUUGUGAUAAGAGAACUUACUGCUACUUUGCAUAGAAUUGAAGUUUUUAUGAUUGCA